CGCAGCCGCGGUAAUUCCAGCUCCAAUAGCGUAUAUUAAAGUUGUUGCAGUUAAAAAGCUCGUAGUUGAAUUUCGGGAUUGACGUGAUGGUCGUGCCUUAAGGGGUAUGAACUGUCGCAGUUGAUUUCUCACCUUCUGGAGAAGCAUGAUGUCCUUAAUUGGGUGUCAUGUGGAACCAGGACCUUUACCUUGAAAAAUUAGAGUGUUUAAAGCAGGCAUUUUGCUCGAAUACAUUAGCAUGGAAUAAUAGAAUAGGACGGCAUGGUUCUAUUUUGUUGGUUUCUAGGAUCACCGUAAUGAUUAAUAGGGAUAGUUGGGGGCAUUAGUAUUCAAUUGUCAGAGGUGAAAUUCUUGGAUUUAUUGAAGACUAACUACUGCGAAAGCAUUUGCCAAGGAUGUUUUCAUUAAUCAAAGAACGAAAGUUAGGGG
Molecule: ribosomal RNA, 429 nt
Filed under: uncultured Entrophospora
Lineage: Eukaryota; Fungi; Glomeromycota; Glomeromycetes; Entrophosporales; Entrophosporaceae
Description: SSU rRNA
Rfam family: Eukaryotic small subunit ribosomal RNA
Source: RNAcentral